GAUAAACGCUGGCGGCGUGCCUAACACAUGCAAGUCGAACGAUCCCGCAAGGGAGAGUGGCGGAAGGGUGAGUAACACGUGGGAAUCUACCUCCUCGCAGGGAACAACCUCUCGAAAGAGAGGCUAAUACCCAAAAGGGUCAGAAAUGAUCAGAGUCGAAAGGCGUGAGGAGAGGAGGCCCGCGGCCCAUCAGCUAGUUGGUGAGGUAAUGGGCUUACCAAGGCUACGACGGGUAGGGGAUCUGAGAGGAUGUCCCCCCACACUGGAACUGAAACACGGUCCAGACGCCUACGGGUGGCAGCAGUGAGGAAUAUUGGACAAUGGGCGAAAGCCCCGAUCCAGCAACGCCGCGUGGAGGAUGAAGGCCUUGGGUCGGUAAACUUCUUUAGAGGGAGACGAGAAAGGACGGUAUCCC
RNAcentral lists this ribosomal RNA (415 nucleotides) under uncultured bacterium. RNAcentral's name for it is "bacterial SSU rRNA". It matches the Rfam family "Bacterial small subunit ribosomal RNA", at positions 28 to 481 of the family's 1533-position model. The record is from RNAcentral.